Molecule: long non-coding RNA, 2080 nt
Filed under: Pongo abelii (Sumatran orangutan)
Lineage: Eukaryota; Metazoa; Chordata; Mammalia; Primates; Hominidae
Description: lincRNA
Source: RNAcentral
AAACGCAUCUAGGCAAAGUGUGGAGCCGACCAGGCGGGUUUUCCUCCUCCUCCCAACUCCUCCUCCUACCCCUCUCCCCCGCAAAUCUCAUCUGAGUGAGUCAGCUGAGGGUGGCAGCUCAGAGGCGAGGCAGCCGUGAGGCGGAGGACAGGCUGGGGGAUCCCAAAGGGUCCGCUCCGGCCCCCACCCCAGGCACUGGGACUCUGGUGGCACCCUGGGUGGCAGGCAAGCCUUGAAGUCAAGUGCACGAGCCUUGGAAAGGAGGACCGGGAGAGUUAUGGCAUUUAUGAAUGAAGAAGAGAAAGAAUCACUCGGAGGGGAAAAGUUAACUGGAUUGUUCCCAACUGCAUGGAUCACCGGGAUGAAGCUGUGCCACCCUGUAGGAAUUAGAAGACCAUGUCCAGGAAUUGAGCACUGGGUGCAGGAUCCAGUCUUCUCAGGCCCUGAAUCCACAUGGGUCACCAUAGUGCUCUUCAUGGGGUGGGAAGUGGUGGCCUUUAAGUGUCUAUCAAAUGUGAAGACUGCAAAGAGGGAUCCAUGGCUGUCGGAGCAAUGAGAUACGCGAUGACAUAGAUCUGGAAAGCACAUCUGAGCAAAAGAGCACACUCGUAAGCAACUUAGCCAUCUUGCCUUGUGGCCUGGAACCCCUGGCAAUUUCCGGAGCACCAGCAAGAGACUUUUGCACAGUUUCUGCUUGGAGUCUACCGACUCUCUGUCUCAGAGGUCUGGACAGCUACUUGUUAUAUUUGGCUCACGCUAGCUUAAAAAAGGAAUUUAUGGACCUUACUGCAGAACUUCCCAAUUCUUCAGGCCAGGUGCCUGUGUUCCUGCUCGGUUUCUAGAUUGCUUGGUACUUAAAUGAAACAUCUUAUUAAUCAUUUCCUGGGAAUGCUGUGCAGCCAAAAGGAAAACAAAGGCAUUCAGGACCCACAAUGUCUUGAACAAGUCAGCAAAGAAAAACAGUUCCGCCCUUUGGAAUGUAUGAAAAUGAAGACCGUUGCAGGAGGUCUUCAGCCACAGAGCUGGCUCCAGAGGCAUUGGGAGGACAAACGCGGCAGGCCUGGCUCACUCAUUAUAUUUCAAGAUCUAUCCCAGCUUGUCACAACGUGGACUGCGUAACUGAGACGAUUCGCGGUUGGUAUUCCUAUGCUGAGGCAUGUGCUGCCCCGGCCCUUGGUUGCUGGGCAAUUUGCUCUCUAUGGACUGUACCUGGGGUGCCUACCCUGGACUUCAGACAAGCUUUUUCAAGAGUAGCCCCUGCCAGGGCUGGAACCAACAGCAAGAGCAGCCCAGGGCCACUCUGCCCAGGCUCAGAGGCAUCACUGGGAAAGACUCAGGGGCAGAAGGAACUGGGGCGGGAAGCCCUGAAGGGUGUCGAGUCCCAGGACAAGGGACUGGGGUGUGUCCCAGCAGACCCCCAGGGAAGAAGCAGCUUUGGAUUCGCCUGACCCAAACCCUUGCUGCCAGACAGGCUUAAAUUGCCCCGACUUUCCCCAUGAAGCUCGGACAGGAGGACGGAGGAGCAACUGCCUUCUGGGGUCAGAGUCUGUCCCCGCUCCUGCAGGCCGGAAGCAUGUGUGGUCAGCGGUGGGCCAGAGCCUCUCAGCCUCUCAGCAAGGGCCUUCCUGUAGCUCUCGGCUCCUCCGACAGCCCCAUCCCUUAGCACAGGCGGGGCUGGCGGAGCACUGCAGGGGCCAGGCGCAGCCACUGUGCAGCAAGGCACAGCUGCCUGAUCAAACCAGAUCAAAAGCCAUUCGAUCAUCUAAGGACUAUUUUCAUUCGAUAUUUAUUGAUUUCUACUGCUCGCUAGGGCUGUACAGGGCCCUGAGCUUGCCAUGAGGAGCACAUUUCAGCCUCCACCCCUCGGGGCUCACAGUCUGGUGGAGGAAGCACAUGAAAUAAAAGAAUUGCACAUGUAAAUAUCUCAUUACAAAUGUGCAAGAACCAUGAAAGAAAAAAAAAGAACACGAUGGGAGAUAAUCACAAAGCCCACUUAUUUUAGACAAACUGGUUGGAGACAGCCACAUUUUUGCCAAGACCUAAAGGAUGGGCAACAGUAAAAAUCAUCAUCAUCAUCAUC